Molecule: ribosomal RNA, 300 nt
Filed under: uncultured bacterium
Lineage: Bacteria
Description: bacterial SSU rRNA
Rfam family: Bacterial small subunit ribosomal RNA
Source: RNAcentral
GUUAAGUCCCGCAACGAGCGNAACCCCUAUCGUUAGUUGCCAGCAUUCAGUUGGGCACUCUAGCGAGACUGCCGGUGAUAAGCCGGAGGAAGCGGGGAUGACGUCAAGUCCUCAUGGCCCUUAUGGGCUGGGCUACACACGUGCUACAAUGGCGAUGACAAUGGGCAGCAACCUCGCGAGGGGGAGCUAAUCCUAAAAAGUCGUCUCAGUUCGGAUUGUUCUCUGCAACUCGAGAGCAUGAAGUCGGAAUCGCUAGUAAUCGUGGAUCAGCAUGCCACGGUGAAUACGUUCCCGGGCCUU